UAGUUUUUCUGCAUCAAAUACAAGAAACAGAGCGACAUUUUCUCAUCCCCUGUUAUGUGGCAGGCGAAUAUUUGGCCGUUUACGCUCCAUUGGAGACCAUUUCUGGGAGAACACGGCCCUCUCUAGGUUGGUGGCCGCCCGCCUGGCCACCCGCACCCACCUUGACCGCCGGCGCUGGGUCGAGGUCUGAGCUGGGGGGAGUGGGGCGGGGGCUGCCCCUCUGCUGGUUUUGGGCACCAAGGGCUGGAGUGGGGCUCCGCUUCUGGCCCAGUUGAUCAAGGAGGAAGACGUGGGAAGGUGGCCUUUGUGGACAGGAGGGCGGAGCCACGGUCAAGUCCAGGUUGGUCCAACUGUAAAGGCUGGGCUUGACCGCAGCAGCUCCGGCUCCUUUUGUUUUAGCAGAGAGGGCGGCGCCCGGGUUCCCUCCCCCGUGCCCUUCCGCCCCCAGAGUCCCGCUCAUGCCAGUCUCCGGAGUUCCUUGGGGGGUUGCUCUCACUUUUACACGUAUCCAAAACCAACAUAGCUUUGGUUUUUUGCUCGUGAAGAAAGGUCUUGAAAGCAUCGUUCUGGAUACUUCCUUCUGCAGCUUUUCAGUAUUGUUCCUCAUCCUUUUUUGGAGUUUGUGGCUGUGGGUGAAAAUUCCCCGCGGAGGAGAUGUGUUCCUUCCCCGCAGAGACCAGGGCACACGCUGCCAAUCACGGUUCCACGACGGUUGCACGACGGUUGCCGUGCUGACUGUUCCUGCUGCGGGGGCCGGCCUCCCCCGCAGGCCGUGCACACAGACGCACGUGUACCAGCGUUUCUCCCGGACACAGAACCUGAGCACCUGGGGCGACUCGCCUGCCCUUCCCCAGCUCUUGCCCUGCGCCGUCUAAGGCGAGCGCGCUGAGCUGCAAUCCGACGGCCACUGCAGAUGCUCUCCCCGCUGCCGAGCGUCCUGUGAAAUUUGGGGUUGACCCACCUCAAAGAUGUCCCUUGAAAAGUGAUCUCUUGGUUUCCGUUAUCAUUCUCCCAGCUAUUGGCAGGAACGCACACCUUUUCAGUGAGACCUGAACGUUUUGUUUCAUCUUCUGAGAAUCACCUGUUCGCAGUCUUGCGUCUCUUUCUCUUAGGUUGUCUUUUACUAUGUAUGGAUUUGUUUAAAAUAUUUUACAAAUGGGAUAAUUACAAGACUGACAAACCCUAGUGCCUAUGAUGCGUUAAGUGCUGUUUGGAGCAGACUAGAAGCGUCACCUUUUAUGAUCCGAGACAGUUUAUAGAUGAGGAAGCCGAGGCUGGGGGAGACCAGGGGUUUGGGGGUGGGGGGUUCCUACAGUUGCUGGGAGGUGACCCAAGGUCCGAGCGGCCAUUCACUGGAAAAUACCUGCCUCCAGGCUGUGGUUUCUCCCCACUUCCUUCACAGAGUGUUUGUUGAGGACAAGAGAACGUGCGUUUGAAUUUUAAUAGACUCGUUGUUACCAGACUCCUUUAAAGUCUGUAGUAGCUGUGCCUUGUUUAAGGAAGCUGUCCCCUCUCUAGGGCUCUGACAAUUUCGCCUGUCCUUUCUGCUUGGACUUUGAACACUGGGCUUCCCCUUUUACCUGUACGUCGAAUUUUGUUUUCAUAGACAGCUACUCUUUUUUACUUCAUUUUUCACUUAUUUAUAUUUAAUGUUAAUUUUCUAACAUUUUAUUUUGUUUAUUCAUUUCAUGUUCUACUUUUUAUUUAGUUCAUAUUUUCUUUGUAUUUUAUUUUUAGUUAUUUUUAUUUUAUGGAUUUUUAUUUGUAAGAAUUUAUUUUUUUAACUUGAUUUUUAAAUUUUAUUUUAUUUCAUUGUAUUUUUUAGACCAAUAGCCACCCUGACUUUGGGGAUCUCGUAACCAACUCUG
This 1868-nucleotide long non-coding RNA is filed under the name Sus scrofa (pig). Its description in RNAcentral is "lncRNA (ENSSSCG00015035941.1)". The record is from RNAcentral. Lineage: Eukaryota; Metazoa; Chordata; Mammalia; Artiodactyla; Suidae.